Molecule: ribosomal RNA, 864 nt
Filed under: uncultured organism
Description: bacterial SSU rRNA
Rfam family: Bacterial small subunit ribosomal RNA
Source: RNAcentral
CUGGCUCACGAUGAAGUAAUACGGCGUGCCUAAUACAUGCAAGUCGAGCGAUGAGGCUCCUUCGGGAGUCAUCAGCGGCGAACGGGUGAGUAACACGUGGGUGACUUGCCCCGAAGAUGGGGAUAACCUCUGGAAACGGGGGCUAAUACCCAAUGUGCUCGGUGAUUCGGUUCAUCGAGUAAAGCUCCGGCGCUUCGGGAGAGGCCUGCGGCCCAUCAGCUAGUUGGUAGGGUAACGGCUUACCAAGGCUGGGAUGGGUAGCCGGGCUGAGAGGUUGUUCGGCCACACUGGGACUGAGACACUGCCCAGACUCCUUCGGGAGGCUGCAGUCGAGAAUCUCCCGCAAUGCGCGAAAGCGUGACGGAGCGACGCCGCGUGGAUGAUGAAGGCCUUCGGGUUGUAAAGUCCACUCUCGUGGGAAGAAACAGGAGAGGUUAACACCCUGCUUCUGCGACGUUACCACGGUCGAAGUGCCGGCUAAACACGUGCCAGCAGCCGCGGUAAUACGUGUGGCGCAAGCGUUGUUCGGAAUCACUGGGCAUAAAGAGCGCGUAGGCGGUAGUGUAUGUCGGAUGUGAAAGCCCUUGGCUCAACCAAGGAAUUGCAUUCGAAACUGCAUUACUAGAGUAUGGAAGGGGGGAGUGGAAUUCCUGGUGGAGCGGUGAAAUGCGUAGAUAUCAGGAAGAACACCGGUGGCGAAGGCGACUCUCUGGUCCAUAACUGACGCUGAGGCGCGAAAGCUAGGGGAGCGAACAGGAUUAGAUACCCUGGUAGUCCUAGCUGUAAACGAUGGGCACUAGGUAGUGGGGGUUCCGACACUCUCACUGCUGGAGCAAAUGUAUUAAGUGCCCCGCCUGGGGAGUA